UUCACAAAACAGAAAAGGAAUAAAAUACAAAGAACUACAAAGAAGACAUUAAAUGCAACAUCAGGGAAUGAAAUUGUUUCUGCUUCAAAAGAAGUACCUAUGAUGAAUGUGGCAAUUACUGUGAACAGACAAGGCAACAAAUGAAGGACUUGGAGAAUGGUGCAAGUAGACACUCAUGACAGAUGUUAUAAGAAUGCCAAGGGACAGAUUGCCAGACAAUAUGAAAAGAAUCCCAAGAAAUCACUGAGAAGUAAACAGAAUACAAAAAAGAAGAGAACAAGAGAGAAAUAAAAACUGGCAAUAUUCUAGUAUAUCCUUCCAGGACGACUUCUUCUGACACCAUGAUAUCACAGGAUUUUUAAAGAUUGGAAGACCUUUUCUAUUUAAU
Chiroxiphia lanceolata (lance-tailed manakin) is the source of this 388-nucleotide long non-coding RNA. RefSeq lists it as uncharacterized. The transcript has 3 exons. Lineage: Eukaryota; Metazoa; Chordata; Aves; Passeriformes; Pipridae. The record is from RefSeq and is a predicted model, not a curated record.